RNAcentral lists this long non-coding RNA (3204 nucleotides) under Salvia miltiorrhiza (redroot sage). RNAcentral describes it as "long non-coding RNA (SMIL_LNC012045)". The record is from RNAcentral. Lineage: Eukaryota; Viridiplantae; Streptophyta; Magnoliopsida; Lamiales; Lamiaceae.
GCCGUCCUUCGUUGCGCAUUACCAUGAAUACUUUCAAUCAGGCGUAAACGUGUAAGGCAGGGGAAUACGACUGCAAAUUUCGACCUCUUGCACUGGUACAUUGCUAAUUUAGUGAUCAAUGACAGUGACGAUUCUUCUCAUGAUUCGCUCUGCUGAUUUGAUGCUUUAAUUAUCUAUAUGCUUCUGGAAAUUGUAUGCGUUGUUUGUCAACAGUUGACAUUUAGAUGGCAGAGGUAGUAUAGAUGCUUUCUAGGUUGAAGUUUAUUUUCCACCGAAUUAAUGCGGUUGAUUUUCUCCAAAAUGAAAAAUAAAAAUUAUCUGCGGACUUUAGAUACGCCUGCAGACGUCCCGAUCUGUCUGUGCAAGGUGUUUAUUGAGAUUUAUUGCCUGAGAAGGUAGUAAUAAUGAUAUUUCUAGAUGAUUCUUAAUUAGAAGUUUGACAAUUUGCUAUAAGUGAAACUUAUCAAAUCUUGUGGGAGUGUUAGUGCAAUAGUAAGGACAUUGUAUGUAUUUUGGAAUCACGAAGCAUGCAAAAUUUCGAAAAGAUAAGUUAUAGUAGCAUUUUAUUGAUUAGGACAGAAGAUGAACUCCAGAGAAGUGUUUUCAGUGUUAAAAUUAGUUAUAUUUCUAUUUUCUUGUCUAUGUGGAUAAGUUGAUUAAGGAGAAACAAUAAGUUACAAAAAAAAAGUGUUUCUGGAAAGGGGAAGCUCACAAGUCAUUUGCAAUUGCAACCUAGUUUGGAGCAGUGGUAGCUCGACCAAAAUAAAGAAAAUACUCUAGAUACAAAAUGAACCUUUCCACUUAGAUAGGUGUGAGGAAAAAAGGCUUUUGAUCAAAUACAUCUAUCCUCAUUGAGAGGAGCUGGAAACCCGAAGAUGGAAGAAUUCAUUUGAAGUCAUUAUAAUGCACUUACUUAACAAAGAGCGGUGUAGGUUUCAGAGAAUGGAAAAAAAGAAAAGAAAAAGAAGAUCAAAUAGACAUGGAAUAACCUGUGGAGGCUUUCCUCCCAUCGUUAUUCUCCAAAAUUGCCUCUAUGUUGACUGAUUGAGACUUGACUUGGGAUAGCAGAAAACCAUAUUUAUCCCAAAUCCUUUUACCUCAUUUGUGUUUUGAACUUGAGCUGGUAUAAGAAGUGAACAUAAAGACAUGCCUUUUGAUGAAAAAAACCUGAGGUGGAUCUGGAUUCUUAAUCUGAUAAAGACAGACCUGCUUGUCAAUCUGCAAAUUCAUUGAGAGAUGGUGCAAUAAGCAAAAGGGUUGGUGUAGUUUUGCAAAUGUAUUAAACUAGAGAUAUCAGUAGCUACUAUUACUAUUACUAUACAACACGUUUUAUAAACUAACUCUGUAUAAGUUAUUGUUGCAGAUAUGGUUUGAUUCGAUCAUUGAUUAUUAGGGAUUUUUUAUCCAUUAUAAUAUGCUAUACAGAUAAGCAAACCUUACAGUAACGAUAAUGGGAAGAAGGAUCCAUCAAGUCUUCAACAUGCCAACCGGGGAGAGUCUCCAUUAAGUACUCCGAUAUGCUACUGGUCGAGUCUGAAGCUUGCUCACCGGUGGGCAGGCUCGACUCAUUCUCCCUCGUAGGGUUUGAUGAUGUCUCUGAACAAUUUGCAUUAUUUGAGUUUGCAUUAGCGACUGAAGUUCUGAACUCUAUUCCAGAUUGUGAACCACUGGAUGACGUAGCACCUUGAUACGAAGAAAUGGCUGCAGAAAGCUUGACCCCAGUUAGAAGAAACCUAUUAUGUUUCUUGGUGAGUUCGUUGGCCUUGUGUAUUGGUACAUCACAUUCUCGACAAAGUAAAGCCCUGUCUUCUUGACAAAACAGUAACGCUUGUCUUUCCUGUACAAGUAUAUAUGAUUCCGUUACUCAAAUUAUCAGUUUGUUGUAAAAGAUUGUGCUCUUUUUGAAAAUCUCAACAUUGAAGUGGUGAUUCGAAACGAGUUAAUGACAAUGUAUGUUUAUAAACCUGGCAAAUGUCGCAGCGUGGAGAUUCUUUCAACUGAGGAUUAAGAAGAGAGAAACGAGGAUGCUUGCUCGCGAGCUUAUUGGCGUUAUGAACUCGGUCGUCGCAAUUCUGGCAGAGGGCGGCUUCAUCGGCUGUGCAGAAUACGGCUGCUGCUUCUUUCCCACAAACGUCGCAUUGAAUCUUCAUUUGUAAGUUGAGUUUUGUGUACUUGAAGUUGAAGUCGUUAAAUGUUCAUGCUUACGCGUCCUUUCUGUGUGUUUUUUGGGGGGUGUACGUGUGUAUGAGAACAUAUUUAGGUAAAUAUACUGCUUAUAGAAAAAUAUUAUAAAGAGAUGAACUUUUAUGAACUUUGGUAGAAUUGAAUGAGGAAAGAGACGAACUUUUAUGGGCAUAUGGGUAGGUUGGAAGGCACAGCUAAGCUACCAGGAAUUCAUUUUCCUUCUGACUUCUAUGGAAAGCUCUGGAAAAAAGAUCAUUCAAAUAUCCAAUAUUCUUUGUCUAUCUAGCUUCUGUCUUGUCUGUCUAUGACCCCUCCCCCCCACCCCACCCUACCCCCCAAACAGGGCUGGGGGUUGUUGGCUACAGAUGCAAGAAAUCUAGUUGGCCUUAUGUAGAGAUAGAGCUGCUAUAUUUCAACCAGUUGGAUCUUUUUUUGGUUGAAUAAACAAAUAAUUUAAAGACAGUUAGCUUUGGCCUCAUGCAUUAACCACUUUUCCUAGGCCAACACACGCACACACGACCGUUGGGAUCCUUUAUUGCAAAUGGUGUCAUCUAUUAAUGUAGGAUAUUAAUAUACACCACUAAAAUAUCUUAUUCAUGUGGCAAUCGCGUAGCGGUAGAGAUGGAACACUUUCUUAUAAGAAUCUCAUUAGAUAUUUCAUUCCCAAACCUCUCGCUCGCCGAGCCUCGUUGCCUGGAGAUGGGGGAAAAAAAAUGGGGGGGACCUAGCUGUAUGGGAUAGAAGGGUUUUAUCUGUUCAUUCAUUGAUCACAGCAGUUUCAUUUCCGUGUAUAUGAACACCAUUUCAAAGGGAAUAAUUUAUACCUACAGGCUACAGCAUGGCUCUUAAAGAGGGGGAAAGAAUUCUACUGUGCUGUUGGUCCAGUGCACUUUAAAGUCUUGUCUGGCUAUGAUUCAUAUGCAUAGGUCCAAAUACACUGAAAAAAAGUGUCAUGGGCAACCAAAACAGGUUGCUUUCACCAUUAUUUUCCCCUUCAGAUAUGCUUUAAAGUUUUCCGGC